CAAUCAAAAAAUUCAAAAUCAUGUGCUUCUAACUUCAAGUGUCAAAGAGGUUAGUUAAUCAAUGUUUAUAAUUGGUGAAUAAGAUGGAAGUUUCCAUGAUUUAUUUGAAAAUUAUUUUUCAUAACGAUAUAAUAAAGUGACUUAAUGUUUUUUUUAAUUGUUUAAAAUAACGAGUAAUUACAUUUUAAAUUUAUAGACAUUGUGGAAAAAUGUAGUAUUCGCUAAAAUAUUUACUAUUUCAAUUGAAUCAAGAAAUAAAUUCGUAUUUACCAAUCAGAUUACAUCAUAUUUCGCCGUUAAAAAGCGUUUCUUGAUGCAGUUUGGCAACAUCGCAUUUCCGGUGUUUUUCUACAAGCAGUUUCCGUUUCUGUUUAAGUGCGCAUAAUUUGUAUAUUCUGUUGACUAUUCUCGACACUCUCGUGUGGCUAUUUAUGCUAAAAGUUAUUUACAUAAAAAGAAAUAGAAGAUCAUUGUACAUUUUCAUGGUGUUAAUAUACAUACUUGUUGACGCGAAGUGACGAUUGAAAUUUUUUUUUAUUGCGGAAGAAUAAAAAAAGAGGGGAGACCGGAGCUGUUUGGCGCAGGGGUUGCUUGGCGCACUUGAGUUUAUUCAAAAGUGUUAAGUUACUUUAAUUUUCCUCUUUAUUCUGCUUAAAGUACUUGAUGAACUGUCAAUCUAUGGUGUGAUCGAAACAUUUUCAUACAUAUAUUUGAACACAAAAACGCCGCUUAAGGAUUUUGAGUGAAAUAAAUUUUAUUAAGUUAAGAAUAUGCUGAAAACACUUUUUUGGAGUCUUUACCCCCUCUUUUCUCAAAAUUCUGACAUGUUAAGCAAAUUUGGAUGCCAGAAUCGUGUUCAGAGGACAAAAAUACUUUGGAAACCACUCCGAUAUCAAUAAUAAAAAAAGUUGAAUUUUUCAAUUUUAUAUGUAAUUUAUUAACAUUAAAGAGUUAAACAUUGACGGCGUGAGCUAAAAAUGAAUCACGCAUAUGAAUUUGUAGUGCUAAAAUGUACUUAAACGUGUAUACAAAGUGACAUCAAUGUGCCUGCAAAUUAAAAAAAGAAUUUUUUUGUUUUUUUUUUUUCAAAGUUAAAAGUUUCGUGUAUUUGACCAUAUUAUAUAGAUUAAAAUACUUUCUUUUUUCAUUAGCUCCACGUGUUUAGUUUUUGCUUCAAAAAAAUUUUCGAAAUUUUUCCCAUAUUGCAGAGGAUUAUUAUUUUUUUUUCCGUUUCUUUUCAUAAAAUAAAAUGAAUGAAAAUUUUUCUCAAAUAUUUAUGAGAAAACUUGUCAAAACACGUGUUUUUCGGUUAAUAAAAUAGAAAUAUUUAUUUUGGCAAUGUGUUGAUUAUUCUGAAAGAAAAAAUAAAAAAAAGUAAUAAUAUAGUAAAUGGGAAAUUCUUGAAAACGCGUGCGUCUGUUUAAUGUCGAUAUUUAUUGCCUUGUUUAGGGUUUUCAGUUUCUUAAGUGUCCCUUUUU
Leptopilina boulardi is the source of this 1478-nucleotide long non-coding RNA. RefSeq lists it as uncharacterized. Lineage: Eukaryota; Metazoa; Arthropoda; Insecta; Hymenoptera; Figitidae. The record is from RefSeq and is a predicted model, not a curated record. The transcript is spliced from 3 exons.